UAAUAGUCUCUGUUUUAUAUUCUUUUGAUAUACGUUCUUCUACAACUCAAGCCUUGUCUCUGAUCUCUUUUGAUAUACAUACGUCUUCUACAACUCAAGCCUUGUCUCUGAUCUUCUCAUUCCCUGAGCAUAGAGACUUAAAGACUCAUCACCCCUACAAGAUGAACACAUAUUCAAAAAGAGUGAGUUAACAAGUGCAUGUCCUUUUGAGAGAAACUACAGACGGAAAAAAAAAAGAUCGGAUGUGAAGGAACAGAGAAUCUUGGGAAUGUGCCUUACUUUGUAGGAUGAAUGAUAAAUGCUUGCUUGUAAGCUAUAUAUGUGAUGGUAAAAUGUAUGUGUAGUUAUGACGGCUGGUAAAAGCUGUAUGUGUAGUGAAUGUUUAGGGUGUGGAUGAUUAGAUUAGAUGAAUGUUUAGGAUGUGAU
Capsella rubella is the source of this 426-nucleotide long non-coding RNA. RefSeq lists it as uncharacterized. The record is from RefSeq and is a predicted model, not a curated record. Lineage: Eukaryota; Viridiplantae; Streptophyta; Magnoliopsida; Brassicales; Brassicaceae. The transcript is spliced from 2 exons.